GACGAACGCUGGCGGCGUGCUUAACACAUGCAAGUCGAACGAACAGGCCCUGCUUUUGCUCGUUGCUCGUUUGGCGAACGCGUGUGUAACACGUGUGUAUCCUGCCCUUGUCUUUGGGAUAACUUCUGGAAACUGCGGCUCAUAUCCGAUAUGAUCUCCUGCUCCACGUUGUGCAUUGGAAAGUUUCGGCGGUUCGGUCUCGACUCGCUGCUUAACCGCUUGUUGGUGUAGUAGUUGCUUACCAAGGUUAUGACGGAUAGCCUGCCUGAGAGGGUGACCGGCGACAAGGGGACUGAGAGACGGCCCAGAAUCGUACGGGAGGCAGCAGGGGGAAGUAUUGCAGAAUGAGCGGAAGCGUGAUGCAGAAGCGCCGCGUGCGGGAUAACGGCCUUCGAGGGGUAAACCGAUUUCGCCUGUAACGAAGCGGGAGUGACGGUAAUGGGUAAAAAAGCACCGGCUAACUACGUG
RNAcentral lists this ribosomal RNA (468 nucleotides) under uncultured bacterium. RNAcentral's name for it is "partial 16S ribosomal RNA". It matches the Rfam family "Bacterial small subunit ribosomal RNA", at positions 28 to 507 of the family's 1533-position model. The record is from RNAcentral.